Molecule: long non-coding RNA, 598 nt
Organism: Xiphophorus couchianus (Monterrey platyfish)
Lineage: Eukaryota; Metazoa; Chordata; Actinopteri; Cyprinodontiformes; Poeciliidae
Exons: 4
Source: RefSeq, a predicted model, not a curated record
UUUGUCAAACUGUUGAUCUGCCUCAUGGCUGUUUUAGAAGAUAUGGUGACUGAGGUUUAAACAGUACUAGCCGGCUCAUGCAGCUUGUUUUUACUAGAUGCCAGUCCUAAAAGUACAUAUCUUUAAAAUUUGAAUAAAUACGUACAAUUCCAUAAUUAUUCGAUCCAACGGUUAUAGAAGUUUUGUAAUAAUGCAAUUCAGGUAUUUUACAUUUUCUGGACUAAAGGAGGAUUUCAGUUCAACACCUGUGGUUUCUUAAUUUUUUCACUUAGUUCCACUACUGCAGUGGAUUUUAUAGUCAAUGUUUAAAGCCAACAGAGUCUGAAGCGAUGGAGGAAAUGUACGUCAAUAUGGAACCUGUUGGAAAAACCGCAUCUAAUCACACAGGUUGGAGCAGCUCCAAAGAGAGGCUCUGCCUCCGUGCGGCUGUAUGUUUGGGAAUCCUGAAUGUUUUACUUUUGGCUGAACUCAUCGCCCUCAGUGUUCACACUCAUGACAUGACAGCAGAUUUUUCUGACAUCAGCAACAUUCUGACCGAGCAGAACAGCAGCAGCAAGUUUCCCUCCAGGAACGCUAACUUCACUGAAACGGCUCCACG